CCUACGGGCGGCUGCAGUGGGGAAUAUUGGACAAUGGGGGCAACCCUGAUCCAGCCAUGCCGCGUGUGUGAAGAAGGCCCUCGGGUUGUAAAGCACUUUCAGUGAGGAAGAACGCCUGGUGGUUAAUACCCAUCAGGAAAGACAUCACUCACAGAAGAAGCACCGGCUAACUCCGUGCCAGCAGCCGCGGUAAUACGGAGGGUGCGAGCGUUAAUCGGAAUUACUGGGCGUAAAGCGCGCGUAGGUGGCUUGAUAAGCCGGUUGUGAAAGCCCCGGGAUCAACCUGGGAACGGCAUCCGGAACUGUCAAGCUAGAGUGCAGGAGAGGAAGGUAGAAUUCCCGGUGUAGCGGUGAAAUGCGUAGAGAUCGGGAGGAAUACCAGUGGCGAAGGCGGCCUUCUGGACUGACACUGACACUGAGGUGCGAAAGCGUGGGUAGCAAACAGGAUUAGAUACCCUAGUAGUC
Molecule: ribosomal RNA, 465 nt
Filed under: Vreelandella stevensii
Lineage: Bacteria; Pseudomonadati; Pseudomonadota; Gammaproteobacteria; Oceanospirillales; Halomonadaceae
Description: partial 16S ribosomal RNA
Rfam family: Bacterial small subunit ribosomal RNA
Source: RNAcentral